AUUGAACGCUGGCGGCAUGCCUUACACAUGCAAGUCGAACGGCAGCGCGGGGCAACCUGGCGGCGAGUGGCGAACGGGUGAGUAAUAUAUCGGAACAUACCCUAGAGUGGGGGAUAACGUAGCGAAAGUUACGCUAAUACCGCAUACGCACUAAGGUGGAAAGUGGGGGAUCUUCGGACCUCAUGCUCAUGGAGUGGCCGAUAUCUGAUUAGCUAGUUGGUGAGGUAAAGGCUCACCAAGGCGACGAUCAGUAGCUGGUUUGAGAGAACGACCAGCCACACUGGAACUGAGACACGGUCCAGACUCCUACGGGAGGCAGCAGUGGGAAUUUGGACAAGUGGGGGCAACCCUGAUCCAGCAAUGCCGCGUGAGUGAAGAAGGCC
This 383-nucleotide ribosomal RNA is filed under the name uncultured bacterium. RNAcentral's name for it is "bacterial SSU rRNA". It matches the Rfam family "Bacterial small subunit ribosomal RNA", at positions 30 to 416 of the family's 1533-position model. The record is from RNAcentral.